This 387-nucleotide ribosomal RNA is filed under the name uncultured bacterium. RNAcentral describes it as "bacterial SSU rRNA". It matches the Rfam family "Bacterial small subunit ribosomal RNA", at positions 28 to 419 of the family's 1533-position model. The record is from RNAcentral.
GACGAACGCUGGCGGCGUGCUUAACACAUGCAAGUCACGGGGGCUUGGGGGCGACUCUGAGCAACCGGCGAACGGGUGCGUAACACGUGAGCAACCUGCCGAUCUGUGGGGGAUAGCCGGGCUAACGCCCGGGUAAUACCGCAUACGGUUCCUGCGAGGCGUCUUGCGGGAAAGAAACCUCUGGGGCAGAUCGAGGGGCUCGCGGCCUAUCAGCUGGUUGGGGGGUAAUGGCCCACCAAGGCGACGACGGGUAGCUGGUCUGAGAGGAUGGCCAGCCACAUUGGGACUGAGAGACGGCCCAGACUCCUACGGGAGGCAGCAGUGGGGAAUCUUGCGCAAUGGCCGCAAGGCUGACGCAGCGACGCCGCGUGUGGGAGGACGCCUUUC